Molecule: ribosomal RNA, 520 nt
Filed under: uncultured Glomus
Lineage: Eukaryota; Fungi; Glomeromycota; Glomeromycetes; Glomerales; Glomeraceae
Description: SSU rRNA
Rfam family: Eukaryotic small subunit ribosomal RNA
Source: RNAcentral
AGCAGCCGCGGUAAUUCCAGCUCCAAUAGCGUAUAUUAAAGUUGUUGCAGUUAAAAAGCUCGUAGUUGAAUUUCGGGGUUAGUAGGUUGGUCGUGCCACUGGUACGUACUGGUCUCACUGAUUCCUCCUUCCUGAUGAACUGUAAUGCCAUUAAUUUGGUGUUGCAGGGAAACUGGACUGUUACUUUGAAAAAAUUAGAGUGUUUAAAGCAAGCUAACGCUUGAAUACAUUAGCAUGGAAUAAUGAAAUAGGACGUUCGAUCCUAUUUUGUUGGUUUCUAGGAUUGACGUAAUGAUUAAUAGGGAUAGUUGGGGGCAUUAGUAUUCAAUUGUCAGAGGUGAAAUUCUUGGAUUUAUUGAAGACUAACUACUGCGAAAGCAUUUGCCAAGGAUGUUUUCAUUAAUCAAGAACGAAAGUUAGGGGAUCGAAGACGAUCAGAUACCGUCGUAGUCUUAACCAUAAACUAUGCCGACUAGGGAUCGGAUGAUGUUAAUUUUUUCAAUGACUCAUUCGGCGCCUU